Molecule: long non-coding RNA, 514 nt
Organism: Danio aesculapii
Lineage: Eukaryota; Metazoa; Chordata; Actinopteri; Cypriniformes; Danionidae
Exons: 2
Source: RefSeq, a predicted model, not a curated record
GUGCUUCUUCAAGACAGAGACGGCAGGGCCUCUUCCUGUGGUUUGCACCAUGUGGCCUAAAAAGUGUUAAAAGGCGACAACUUCUUUCUCUUUUCUCUGUUGUUUCCGGGACCAAGUAGGCAGAGAGCUGGUUUAACAAUCGGUGUAAAACGAGCAUUCGGAGUACAAGGAGUUAAGAGGAAGCGUGUAAAAGUGUCGACUGGAGCGUGAAGACGAGAAGAGGCGGGAAGGUCAGAGGUACAGUGCAGUCACUCAUAAAGUAGACAGCACUACUAAACUUCUCUACACAGUGUAGUGUUUCCUACUUUAUGGAUGAGUGUACUGUUGGCGGCGAUGGACAGUCUUGGAUGCUGAAUAUGAACGUGUAUUUAUGAAGUAUUAAUUAUGAUUUUGCUUCUUGAACAUUUUUAAGUGCUCACAUGUAACGUGUAUGUUAAUUUGUACAUGAAUUACUUUGGUUAUGGAACAGUAAAUGAAGUAAUAAAAGGAUCUCUGUGUGCAUUUGCUGCUGAUA